Molecule: long non-coding RNA, 833 nt
Organism: Alosa alosa (allis shad)
Lineage: Eukaryota; Metazoa; Chordata; Actinopteri; Clupeiformes; Clupeidae
Exons: 3
Source: RefSeq, a predicted model, not a curated record
GAAAUAGGUUAGGACCAUAGGUUACUUCUAAACGUAUAGGUUUUGAUGAUCGGUCAUGUAAUUGGUUCAAGGACUAUCUAACGCAGUGGUCCCCCCCUCAUUUUGGGUGGCCCCCCAAAACAUGUCCGUGGUAUAUAGCCAGGGGCGGUUUUAGGGGCGGGGCCACAGGGGCCCUGGCCCCACCUGAAAUUUCAUUGGCCCCUGAAUGGCCCCUGUACCGGCAAUCAUCAAUAAAUGUCAAACUUGUUGAGAACGAUGAUCAGAGAUGCAAUUCCAUUCCCAAACAACUGGUGCCAGUAAUGCACCUUUUGAAGCUUGAAAGCUAAAGCACACAAAGAACUGCUUAGGUCUGUGCACGAAAGAAAGAAUACAUUUGGCUAACCAGAGAACUCUCGGCUAAUGUGAAGAACUGAUACAUUUGGCUAACGAAAGUAUCAGCUAGCGUGAAGAACCGAUCAAUGGCAGCGUUUCAUCCUCCACAGAAGUUUCUUGACUGGGAUGGCGUAGGCUUAGAUUGGAGCUGGUGACUUUAACCCACAGUCUUCAGAACCACCAGAGUCACCAAGCAUAGCUGCUCCUAAUGACAUUUCCCAUUAUAGAGCAGCUGGUUCUGUGCAACCAAAGGUAUUCCGCAAGAUACAGCAUGGAAAUAGGAAGAGGCCACUAAAUGACUUCUAAUACAAAGACUUCAAAUGGUUGGAGUAUUCCAUAUUUAGUGUUUUGCUACCCCUUCCAUAAUUUUUUCGCUUCCAAAUUCCCCAUCAUCUGUCUUCAAAUCAGAAUCAGACUUUUGUAACUGGAAGCAAGACGGUGAUUCAAAGACCAUUCCAAAU